Molecule: small RNA, 33 nt
Filed under: Bombyx mori (domestic silkworm)
Lineage: Eukaryota; Metazoa; Arthropoda; Insecta; Lepidoptera; Bombycidae
Description: ovarian small RNA-30593
Source: RNAcentral
UGAAAUCUCGUGUUAUAUGCUUGUACUGGAUCC